This 450-nucleotide ribosomal RNA is filed under the name uncultured Thermovirga sp. RNAcentral's name for it is "bacterial SSU rRNA". It matches the Rfam family "Bacterial small subunit ribosomal RNA", at positions 920 to 1378 of the family's 1533-position model. Lineage: Bacteria; Thermotogati; Synergistota; Synergistia; Synergistales; Thermovirgaceae. The record is from RNAcentral.
CCCCGCACAAGCAGAGGAGCGCGUGGUUUAAUUCGACGGCAAUCGAAGAACCUUACCAGGGUUUGAAAUGUAUCUGCAUGCCCUAUGAAAAUAGGGAGGCCCUCGAGGGUGAUACACAGGUGCUGCAUGGCCGCCGUCAGCUCGUGUCGUGAGAUGUAGGGUUAAGUCCCGAAACGAGCGCAACCCCUAUUCUAUGUUACAAGUGUCUUAGAAAACCGCCUCGGUAAAACGAGGAGGAAGGUGGGGAUGACGUCUGGUCCGCAUAGCCCUUAUGUCCUGGGCUACACACGCGCUACAAUGGCCGAUACAGUAGGAAGCCAAAUCGUAAGAUGGAGCUAAUCCUUAAAGUCGGUCUCAGUUCGGAUUGAGGUCUGAAAUUCGACCUCAUGAAGUUGGAUUUGCUAGUAAUCGUAGAUCAGCAAUGCUACGGUGAAUACGUUCUCGGGUCUU